RNAcentral lists this ribosomal RNA (420 nucleotides) under Fusobacteriota bacterium. RNAcentral describes it as "Fusobacteria bacterium partial 16S ribosomal RNA". It matches the Rfam family "Bacterial small subunit ribosomal RNA", at positions 355 to 776 of the family's 1533-position model. The record is from RNAcentral. Lineage: Bacteria; Fusobacteriati; Fusobacteriota.
UGGGGGAUUUUGCACAAUGGGCGAAAGCCUGAUGCAGCGACGCCGCGUGGGGGUUGAAGGCCUUCGGGUUGUAAACUCCUUUUGUUCUGAACAAGGCAUGCCUUUGGGGUGCGUGGAGUGUAGGGGUUGAUUAGGGCCGGCAAACUCCGUGCAAGCAGCCGCGGUAAUACGCAGGGCGCGAGCGUUGUCCGGAAUUAUUGGGCGUAAAGGGCUGGUAGGUGGCGGGUUGCGUCUGUCUGGAAAGCUCAGGGCUUAACUGUGGGUUUGCGGUGGGUACGGGCUGGCUUGAGUGCAGUAGGGGAGGCUGGAAUUCCUGGGGUAGCGGUGGAAUGCGCAGAUAUCAGGAGGAAUACCGGUGGCGAAGGGGGGUCUCUGGGCUGUUACUGACGCUGAGGAGCGAAAGCGUGGGGAGCGAACAGG